This 253-nucleotide ribosomal RNA is filed under the name uncultured bacterium. RNAcentral describes it as "partial 16S ribosomal RNA". It matches the Rfam family "Bacterial small subunit ribosomal RNA", at positions 524 to 776 of the family's 1533-position model. The record is from RNAcentral.
UACGAAGGGGGCUAGCGUUGCUCGGAAUCACUGGGCGUAAAGGGUGCGUAGGCGGGUCUUUAAGUCAGGGGUGAAAUCCCAGGGCUCAACCCUGGAACUGCCUUUGAUACUGACGAUCUGGAGAUCGGGAGAGGUUGGUGGAAUUCCGAGUGUAGAGGUGAAAUUCGUAGAUAUUCGGAGGAACACCAGAAGCGAAGGCGGCCAACUGGCCCGAUACUGACGCUGAGGCGCGAAAGCGUGGGGAGCAAACAGG